RNAcentral lists this ribosomal RNA (400 nucleotides) under uncultured eukaryote. RNAcentral describes it as "SSU rRNA". It matches the Rfam family "Eukaryotic small subunit ribosomal RNA", at positions 471 to 888 of the family's 1831-position model. The record is from RNAcentral.
CAAGAAAUAACAACUCGGGGCCUCACGGCUUACGAGAUUGCAAUGAGAACAAUUUUAAAAUCUCUUAGCGAGGAACAAUUGGAGGGCAAGUCUGGUGCCAGCAGCCGCGGUAAUUCCAGCUCCAAUAGCGUAUAUUAAAGUUGUUUGCAGUUAAAAAAGCUCGUAGUUGAAUUUCUGAUUAUGGAUGUAGCGGUUCCGUUACAUUUGUAGUCAUCCACAUGAGAACCUUUCUCGGCCUUCACUGGUCGGUUGGGGGAUCAUGUACUUUACUUUGAAAAAAUCAGAGUGUUUCAGGCAGGCGUUUGCAUGAAUACACAAGCAUGGAAUAAUGGAAUAGGACUAGGGGUCCAUUUUUAUUGGUUAUUGGACCAUAGUAAUGAUUAAUAGGGACAGUUGGGGG